This is a long non-coding RNA of Capsella rubella, 463 nucleotides long. RefSeq lists it as uncharacterized. The record is from RefSeq and is a predicted model, not a curated record. The transcript is spliced from 3 exons. Lineage: Eukaryota; Viridiplantae; Streptophyta; Magnoliopsida; Brassicales; Brassicaceae.
AGACAAACGUACGACUUGUCUCGUUUGUUUAAGAUGAUGCAGAAUCAAAAGGUGAGAAUGGUGUAGAGGAGAUGAGGAGAUGUGGUGGCACUACUACACGCUCAUGGCUUAAUCAUAUCUUCUAGGAGGAGCGUCACACAUCCGCCCAAAAAGACUUCUCUCCCUUGUUGAAGAUGAAGAAGGAAAUCCCUACGGAUGUAGGAAAUAUGGUGGCACGACACGCUCAUGAAUCCAAUAUUUCAGGAAACAAAAUGGAACCAAUCAUCAACAACAAAUAGGUUUAUUCUAUUUUAGCCUAAUUUAUCACAGUUGAUUGACAUAAUCUAGUUGGAAAGAAAAGUGACAAAAUGUACCAUCUUUAUCACAUGACCAUUAAGAAACUCUGUGAGCUGUCUUUUUUAUCUAGAUUAUGUUUUGAAUAGUGGUAAAUAAGGUCUGAAGGAAGAUAAGCCAUGUUGUGACA